Long non-coding RNA from Pungitius pungitius (ninespine stickleback), 496 nucleotides. RefSeq lists it as uncharacterized. The transcript is spliced from 3 exons. The record is from RefSeq and is a predicted model, not a curated record. NCBI's taxonomy places the organism in Eukaryota, Metazoa, Chordata, Actinopteri, Perciformes, Gasterosteidae.
UCCCCCAUGUGAAAAAGUAAGUACCAGUGUCUGUUUUGUUGAAACAGUGACCUAUAACAUCAAUACAAAGUAAUAUUAUUUAAUAUAAACUGCUUUCGCCAUUUAUUUGUUCACAGAUUUUUUUUUAUUAUGUCAUGCAAAGAUAAUCUUUCUCAGUCUGCAGCAUCACAAGAAGCGCUCUGACGUCCACACGGGGAGCAGCAAAGGAGGAAGAGCCAGACUCUGUGUUCCUGCCGGACAUCCAGAGACUCAAAUUCCUGGACAUCAUCCAGGGUGACCAUGAGGAGAAAAGACUAUCGCUCACUCCCGACCAGAUGCGAAGGAUGGCUGACCAGAGGACCAGCUGGAGGGCUGUGGGCCCGGUUCACUGGAGGCAGCACUCCUGUUGUGUCCUUUGGAAAUCCUCGUGCUCGGUGGAUGUGAACAGAAGAGCCCACAGCCGUCCACUCAGCACAUUUCUCUACCUCACUGCUAAGGGGAAUCAUACAAUUAAACA